GACGAACGCUUGCGGCGUGCCUAAGAAAUGCAAGUCGAACGGGUGCCAGUAAUGGUGCCAGUGGCGAACGGUCGCGUAACACGUAAGCAACCUGCCUUGAAGUGGGGGAUAACGUUCCGAAAGGGACGCUAAUACCGCAUGUGGUCCAUUUUUCGCAUGGGAGAUGGUCUAAAGAUUUAUCGCUUCAAGAUGGGCUUGCGGCCUAUCAGGUAGUUGGUGAGGUAAUGGCUCACCAAGCCGACGACGGGUAGCUGGUCUGAGAGGACGAUCAGCCGGAUUGGGACUGAGAUACGGCCCAGACUCCUACGGGGGCAGGCAGUAAGGAAUAUUGGUCAAUGGACGCAAGUCUGAACCAGCCAUGCCGCGUGAAGGAUG
This 375-nucleotide ribosomal RNA is filed under the name uncultured bacterium. RNAcentral describes it as "bacterial SSU rRNA". It matches the Rfam family "Bacterial small subunit ribosomal RNA", at positions 28 to 410 of the family's 1533-position model. The record is from RNAcentral.